RNAcentral lists this non-coding RNA (956 nucleotides) under Pangasianodon gigas (Mekong giant catfish). Its description in RNAcentral is "12S ribosomal RNA". It matches the Rfam family "Bacterial small subunit ribosomal RNA". Lineage: Eukaryota; Metazoa; Chordata; Actinopteri; Siluriformes; Pangasiidae. The record is from RNAcentral. RNAcentral also lists the same sequence under 1 other name.
CAAAAGCUUGGUCCUGACUUUUCUAUCGGCUUAAGCCAAAAUUACACAUGCAAGUAUCCGCAUCCCCGUGAGAAUGCCCCACAGUUCCCUGCUCGGGAACAAGGAACUGGUAUCAGGCACAUAUGAACUAUAGCCCAAGACACCUUGUUAAGCCACACCCUCAAGGGAACCCAGCAGUGAUAAACAUUAAGCAAUGAGUGCAAACUUGACUUAGUUAUGGUUUUUAAGGGCCGGUAAAACUCGUGCCAGCUACCGCGGUUAUACGAGAGGCCCAAGUUGACAGACACCGGCGUAAAGAGUGGUUAAGGACAAAUAUUUCACUAAAGCUGAACACUUACAAAGCUGUCAUACGCAUCCGAGAGUAAGAAAAACAACUACGAAAGUGGCUUUAUAACACCUGAACCCACGAAAGCCAAGACACAAACUGGGAUUAGAUACCCCACUAUGCUUUGCCAUAAACAUUGAUAGUUAUUUACACCGACUAUCCGCCCGGGUACUACGAGCAACAGCUUAAAACCCAAAGGACUUGGCGGUGCUUUAGACCCAUCUAGAGGAGCCUGUUCUAAAACCGAUAAUCCCCGUUCAACCUCACCUUUUCUUGUUCUUCUCCGCCUAUAUACCGCCGUCGUCAGCUUACCCUAUGAAGGCCCUUCAGUAAGCAUAAUUGGUACAACCCAAAACGUCAGGUCGAGGUGUAGCGUAUGAAAAGGGAAGAAAUGGGCUACAUUCCCUGCAUCAGGGAAUUACGAAAAAUAUUACUGAAACGUAUAUCUAGAAGGAGGAUUUAGCAGUAAGCAGAAAAUAGAGAGUUCUACUGAAACUGGCCCUGAAGCGCGCACACACCGCCCGUCACUCUCCCCAAGCGUACACUUAUAAGAUACCUUAAAACCCUUUAACAGCAAAGGGGAGGCAAGUCGUAACAUGGUAAGUGUACCGGAAGGUGCACUUGGCAAAAA